GAUGAACGCUAGCGAUAGGCCUAACACAUGCAAGUCGAGGGGCAUCACAUGAGGCAGCAAUGCCGAUGGUGGCGACCGGCGCACGGGUGAGUAACACGUAUGCAACCUGCCUUCAACAAGGGGAUAACCCGUUGAAAAACGGCUAAUACCCUAUAACACAGGGGUCCCGCAUGGGAAUAUUUGUUAAAGGACAACCGGUUGAAGAUGGGCAUGCGUUCCAUUAGCUAGUUGGCGGGGUAACGGCCCACCAAGGCAACGAUGGAUAGGGGAACUGAGAGGUUUAUCCCCCACACUGGUACUGAGACACGGACCAGACUCCUACGGGAGGCAGCAGUGAGGAAUAUUGGUCAAUGGACGCAAGUCUGAACCAGCCACGUCGCGUGAAGGAAGACGGCCCUACGGGUUGUAAACUUCUUUUAUACGGGAAUAAAGUGCCCCACGCGUGGGGUUUUGCAUGUACCGUAUGAAUAAGGAUCGGCUAACUCCGUGCCAGCAGCCG
This 499-nucleotide ribosomal RNA is filed under the name uncultured bacterium. RNAcentral describes it as "bacterial SSU rRNA". It matches the Rfam family "Bacterial small subunit ribosomal RNA", at positions 28 to 517 of the family's 1533-position model. The record is from RNAcentral.